GGCAAAACUACGCCAGCAACUGCACAAUA
This 29-nucleotide small RNA is filed under the name Bombyx mori (domestic silkworm). RNAcentral's name for it is "ovarian small RNA-17354". The record is from RNAcentral. Lineage: Eukaryota; Metazoa; Arthropoda; Insecta; Lepidoptera; Bombycidae.